Gorilla gorilla gorilla (western lowland gorilla) is the source of this 567-nucleotide non-coding RNA. The record is from the annotation of a RefSeq genome assembly. NCBI's taxonomy places the organism in Eukaryota, Metazoa, Chordata, Mammalia, Primates, Hominidae.
AAUGACUUCCUUGAGAGUCCUGUUCCCCUUUCAUCAAUGCACAGACACAGAAGACCCCUCCAUCCUGGAGCACCUGCCAUGAGCACCAGCCUCCUGUGCUGUGCAGCCUUUUCUCUCCUGUGGGCAGGUCCAGUGAAUGCUGGUGUCACUCAGACCCCAAAAUUCCGCAUCCUGAAGAUAGGACAGAGCAUGACACUGCAGUGUGCCCAGGAUAUGAACCAUAACUACAUGUCCUGGUAUCAACAAGACCCAGGCAUGGGGCUGAAGCUGAUUUAUUACUCAGUUACUGCUGGUAUCACUGAUAAAGGAGAAGUCCCGAAUGGCUACAAUGUCUCCAGAUCAACCACAGAGGAUUUCCCGCUCAGGCUGGAGUCGGCUGCUCGCUCCCAGACAUCUGUGUACUUCUGUGCCAGCAGUUACUCCACAGAGCUACAAGGCCCUGGCUCAAGGCUUUCUCUUGUGGCUGCAGCACCUGACCUCCUCCAGGUCUCUGUGCUCUCUGUCAGGGUCUUUCCCCACAACAAAUCUAGACAGAUCAGAGAUCCACUUCUAGAAUUCCAUCCUUAA